This 686-nucleotide long non-coding RNA is filed under the name Equus asinus (donkey). Its description in RNAcentral is "lncRNA (ENSEASG00005032377.1)". The record is from RNAcentral. Lineage: Eukaryota; Metazoa; Chordata; Mammalia; Perissodactyla; Equidae.
CUUCUCACAGGAAGAACUGGUCCUGAAGAAGGGAUGGCCUGGGGAGGUGGUGAGCACUUCACAUGCCUGGAGCUGCCCGCCCUACUCGAUGGAUAAAGACCUAAGUUGUAGGUCCCUUCAACUCAGAAGCCCAGAGAGGGCAAAACUUGCCUUCAUCCACACAGCAAUGUGGAUGACUCUGGAAGGGGAAUCCUGGAGCAGUGACUCUUCAGGCCAGAUCCCUGCCUGGCCCCCACCAUGCAGGCCAAGACUACACUGUGGUCCCCAGGUGUCCUACCCACUCCACCACAGAGCCUUGCCACCACUGAGUUCCUGAGCUGGGAGCCUUGAAGCACAUCUGGGAGGGAGGUGACGCUUAGGCCAGAGACUGAGGACAGGCUCCAGGGAUCCAGGAAGGGAGACUUCAGGACAGAAUACGCCAAGGAGGAAUCCACACAAGAGGACAUGGGGAACAGAGAGCAGGGGGUGGCUGUGGCCCCCUCCCCAAGCCUGGAGUGUACCCAAGAUUCCUAUCAUCAGAGCUAGCAGAACUUCAACAGGCCGGGAGGACAAGCAUUAAUGGAUUCAGGACACUGUACCAGCAGAGGUGACUCCCCAGAAUGAGGACAUGAUUCCACUGCCCUGCUGGAGAACUGAGAAGAGGUAUUGUCAGGGUCACAAGGGGAGGCAAGGGCCCCUGGCUCCUG